Molecule: ribosomal RNA, 108 nt
Filed under: Flavobacteriaceae bacterium
Lineage: Bacteria; Pseudomonadati; Bacteroidota; Flavobacteriia; Flavobacteriales; Flavobacteriaceae
Also listed under: 2 other names
Source: RNAcentral
UAAGGUGGUUAUAGCAAUGGGGCUCACCUCUUACCAUACCGAACAGAGAAGUUAAGCCCAUUAGCGCCGAUGGUACUACUAUUGUGGAAGAGUAGGUCGCUGCCUUUU